This is a long non-coding RNA of Dreissena polymorpha, 1171 nucleotides long. RefSeq lists it as uncharacterized. NCBI's taxonomy places the organism in Eukaryota, Metazoa, Mollusca, Bivalvia, Myida, Dreissenidae. The record is from RefSeq and is a predicted model, not a curated record. The transcript is spliced from 3 exons.
UGUUCGAGAGUGCACCCAUCAUUGUCCGUCGUGUGUUGGAGGAAUUAAACGACCCAAACCUACUACCUGGUGCUCGAAACUGUGAGAAGAAUCUGUGUAAACUCGCAAACAGGUGUCGCAAGUAAAUGCGACCAACAGACCCAGUAUCGACAGAAUUUUGAGCACGAUGAGCAGUACCUGAGCGAUGCGCUCAACGAUCCCUUUUACAGGGGAACGGUCACGGUAAAGGACCAGAAGCACGUGAUUCUGGCGACUGACACGCAGUUGGAGCUGCUGGCGAAAGCUAAAACCUGGUACUUGGACGGAACCUUCAAAGUCAUGAAGGCGCCAAUAACGCAGCUGUUCUCAAUACAUGCCUUCGUGAAGUAUGAAGAUGUAGUGAAACAGCUGCCACUGUGCUUCGUUCUCAUGACUGGGAGACAACAAAGGGAUUAUAAAAAGGUGUUGCAGAAAGUGAACACUCUUCUCAGUGAACCGAAAGUAACAACGUUCGUUGUUGACUUUGAGGCCGGUCUAUGACAGGCUUUGCGCCAAGUCUACACGGAUCCCGAUAUCAAGGGCUGCGCCUUCGACUUCGGCCAGGCAAUGUGGCGAAAGUGUCAGGAGAUUGGACUCAGUACGGCGUAGGAGAGUAAGGAUCGAGUAUAUAAGUUGCUACGGAAGUGCUUCGCGCUCCCUCUUCUGCCACCAGCUGACAUCCGUCCCGCGUUCGGUAAAAUAGAGGAGAAAGGCCAAAGCGAACAACUAGCCCCCUUCUUCGCCUAUGUUGAAAACACGUGGCUGACGAACAACGUAUGGACAGUUGACAACUGGUCGGUGUACGGGAGAUCAGCGAGGACCAACAACGACGUAGAAGGCUGGCACAACCGCCUUAACCGGCGGGCGAAGAAGGGAAAUCUCUCAUUCUACCUGCUAAUCACUCUGCUGUUUGACGAAGCUAAAGAGGUGCCUAUGCAGUGCAAGCUCAUCAAGGAAAAGAAAUUACAUCGUCAUCAGAGUAGGCAGACCCGUGCCACCCAAGGGCGUUUGUGCGCGGCUUGGGACCGCUAUGGGAAAAAAGAGAUUAGUACAAGUGAGCUUCUAAAUGAGUGCUGUAGACUGUAUGGACCUGUGUAAAUGUGCACGUGUGUUUGUUUGUUUGCUACUGUGAACGAUUGAGUAAAAAGGUAUA